GGCCCAAUAGUUAAAUAUAUAACCGUAGACUGCAAAUUUUCCAUUGCGUUAAAGGCGCUUGGGCAU
RNAcentral lists this transfer RNA (66 nucleotides) under Bathymodiolus aduloides. RNAcentral's name for it is "tRNA-Cys". Lineage: Eukaryota; Metazoa; Mollusca; Bivalvia; Mytilida; Modiolidae. The record is from RNAcentral.